Molecule: microRNA precursor, 125 nt
Filed under: Chlorocebus sabaeus (green monkey)
Lineage: Eukaryota; Metazoa; Chordata; Mammalia; Primates; Cercopithecidae
Description: miRNA (ENSCSAG00000026492.1)
Source: RNAcentral
UUUGGUACUGUUAGGUUGGUGCAAAAGUAAUUGCGGUUUUUACCAUUAAAAGUAAUGGUAGAAAUAGACUGUUAAUAGACUGAUAGACUGUUAAUAGUCUAUUACCUAGAAAACAUGGAACCCUG